GCGGGACACGUGGUAUCCUGUCUGAAUAUGGGGGGACCAUCCUCCAAGGCUAAAUACUCCUGACUGACCGAUAGUGAACCAGUACCGUGAGGGAAAGGCGAAAAGAACCCCGGCGAGGGGAGUGAAAAAGAACCUGAAACCGUGUACGUACAAGCAGUGGGAGCCUCUUAAUGGGGUGACUGCGUACCUUUUGUAUAAUGGGUCAGCGACUUAUAUUCUGUAGCAAGGUUAACCGAAUAGGGGAGCCGAAGGGAAACCGAGUCUUAACUGGGCGUUAAGUUGCAGGGUAUAGACCCGAAACCCGGUGAUCUAGCCAUGGGCAGGUUGAAGGUUGGGUAACACUAACUGGAGGACCGAACCGACUAAUGUUGAAAAAUUAGCGGAUGACUUGUGGCUGGGGGUGAAAGGCCAAUCAAACCGGGAGAUAGCUGGUUCUCCCCGAAAGCUAUUUAGGUAGCGCCUCGUGAAUUCAUCUCCGGGGGUAGAGCACUGUUUCGGCAAGGGGGUCAUCCCGACUUACCAACCCGAUGCAAACUGCGAAUACCGGAGAAUGUUAUCACGGGAGACACACGGCGGGUGCUAACGUCCGUCGUGAAGAGGGAAACAACCCAGACCGCCAGCUAAGGUCCCAAAGUCAUGGUUAAGUGGGAAACGAUGUGGGAAGGCCCAGACAGCCAGGAUGUUGGCUUAGAAGCAGCCAUCAUUUAAAGAAAGCGUAAUAGCUCACUGGUCGAGUCGGCCUGCGCGGAAGAUGUAACGGGGCUAAACCAUGCACCGAAGCUGCGGCAGCGACACUAUGUGUUGUUGGGUAGGGGAGCGUUCUGUAAGCCUGUGAAGGUGGCCUGUGAGGGUUGCUGGAGGUAUCAGAAGUGCGAAUGCUGACAUAAGUAACGAUAAAGCGGGUGAAAAGCCCGCUCGCCGGAAGACCAAGGGUUCCUGUCCAACGUUAAUCGGGGCAGGGUGAGUCGACCCCUAAGGCGAGGCCGAAAGGCGUAGUCGAUGGGAAACAGGUUAAUAUUCCUGUACUUGGUGUUACUGCGAAGGGGGGACGGAGAAGGCUAUGUUGGCCGGGCGACGGUUGUCCCGGUUUAAGCGUGUAGGCUGGUUUUCCAGGCAAAUCCGGAAAACCAAGGCUGAGGCGUGAUGACGAGGCACUACGGUGCUGAAGCGACAAAUGCCCUGCUUCCAGGAAAAGCCUCUAAGCAUCAGGUAACAUCAAAUCGUACCCCAAACCGACACAGGUGGUCAGGUAGAGAAUACCAAGGCGCUUGAGAGAACUCGGGUGAAGGAACUAGGCAAAAUGGUGCCGUAACUUCGGGAGAAGGCACGCUGAUAUGUAGGUGAAGCGACUUGCUCGUGGAGCUGAAAUCAGUCGAAGAUACCAGCUGGCUGCAACUGUUUAUUAAAAACACAGCACUGUGCAAACACGAAAGUGGACGUAUACGGUGUGACGCCUGCCCGGUGCCGGAAGGUUAAUUGAUGGGGUUAGCGGUAACGCGAAGCUCUUGAUCGAAGCCCCGGUAAACGGCGGCCGUAACUAUAACGGUCCUAAGGUAGCGAAAUUCCUUGUCGGGUAAGUUCCGACCUGCACGAAUGGCGUAAUGAUGGCCAGGCUGUCUCCACCCGAGACUCAGUGAAAUUGAACUCGCUGUGAAGAUGCAGUGUACCCGCGGCAAGACGGAAAGACCCCGUGAACCUUUACUAUAGCUUGACACUGAACAUUGAGCCUUGAUGUGUAGGAUAGGUGGGAGGCUUUGAAGUGUGGACGCCAGUCUGCAUGGAGCCGACCUUGAAAUACCACCCUUUAAUGUUUGAUGUUCUAACGUUGGCCCGUAAUCCGGGUUGCGGACAGUGUCUGGUGGGUAGUUUGACUGGGGCGGUCUCCUCCUAAAGAGUAACGGAGGAGCACGAAGGUUGGCUAAUCCUGGUCGGACAUCAGGAGGUUAGUGCAAUGGCAUAAGCCAG
RNAcentral lists this ribosomal RNA (1965 nucleotides) under Escherichia coli. RNAcentral's name for it is "partial 23S ribosomal RNA". It matches the Rfam family "Bacterial large subunit ribosomal RNA", at positions 417 to 2367 of the family's 2925-position model. The record is from RNAcentral. Lineage: Bacteria; Pseudomonadati; Pseudomonadota; Gammaproteobacteria; Enterobacterales; Enterobacteriaceae.